Molecule: ribosomal RNA, 468 nt
Filed under: uncultured bacterium
Lineage: Bacteria
Description: partial 16S ribosomal RNA
Rfam family: Bacterial small subunit ribosomal RNA
Source: RNAcentral
GACGAACGCUGGCGGCGUGCUUAACACAUGCAAGUCGAACGGAAAGGCCCUGCUUUUGUGGGGUGCUCGAGUGGCGAACGGGUGAGUAACACGUGAGUAACCUGCCCUUGACUUUGGGAUAACUUCAGGAAACUGGGGCUAAUACCGGAUAGGAGCUCCUGCUGCAUGGUGGGGGUUGGAAAGUUUCGGCGGUUGGGGAUGGACUCGCGGCUUAUCAGCUUGUUGGUGGGGUAGUGGCUUACCAAGGCUUUGACGGGUAGCCGGCCUGAGAGGGUGACCGGCCACAUUGGGACUGAGAUACGGCCCAGACUCCUACGGGAGGCAGCAGUGGGGAAUAUUGCACAAUGGGCGGAAGACUGAUGCAGCAACGCCGCGUGCGGGAUGAAGGCCUUCGGGUUGUAAACCGCUUUCGCCUGGGACGAAGCGUGAGUGACGGUAAUGGGUAAAGAAGCACCGGCUAACUACGUG